Molecule: ribosomal RNA, 440 nt
Filed under: uncultured bacterium
Lineage: Bacteria
Description: partial 16S ribosomal RNA
Rfam family: Bacterial small subunit ribosomal RNA
Source: RNAcentral
GACGAACGCUGGCGGCGUGCCUAAUGCAUGCAAGUCGCACGCGGCACCUUCGGGUGCUGAGUGGCGAACGGCUGAGGAACACGUGGGGACCUGUCCGGGAGUGGGGGACAACACCGCGAAAGCGGUGCUAAUCCCGCAUACGCUCUGAGGAGGAAAGCCGAAAGGCGCUCCCGGGUGGCCCUGCGGCCCAUCAGGUUGUUGGUGGGGUAACGGCCUACCAAGCCAAUGACGGGUCGCUGGUCUGUGAGGACGACCAGCCAGACUGGGACUGGGACACGGCCCAGACUCCUACGGGAGGCAGCAGCAAGGAAUUUUCGGCAAGGGGCGCAAGCCUGACCGAGCAACGCCGCGUGCAGGAAGACGGCCUUCGGGGUGUAAACUGCUUUUGCUAGGGAGGAUAACAGACAGUACCUGGCGAAUCAGCCCCGGCUAACUCUGUG